This is a long non-coding RNA of Xenopus laevis (African clawed frog), 507 nucleotides long. RefSeq lists it as uncharacterized. The transcript has 5 exons. The record is from RefSeq and is a predicted model, not a curated record. Lineage: Eukaryota; Metazoa; Chordata; Amphibia; Anura; Pipidae.
UGGUAUAGAAGUCCAAAACACAAUGUACACCAUUUCUAGCCUACUUCUUUAGUUAAGCUUUAGUUCUUCUUUAACAAAACAAUGUCAUAUUUGCAUUUAAAACCAGUUUCCUGUUUACAGGUGAUGCUUGGACUGCCAAACAGCUAAGAGGAAAAAUCAAUGAAGAUUUGCACAAACUUUGGUAUGUAUUGCUCAAAGAUAAAAACAUGCUCUUAACUUUGGAACAGGAGUCUAAAAGGCAAAGAUUACCAAUGCCAAGUCCUGAGCGUCUUUCCAAGUGCCUGUGCGAUUUGGCAGCCAUGGGCAAAGGCUGUUUGUCAUGCAGCCUUCACAUUUCUAUGACAGGAGAUUUCUGCGUUUGCUGGUGAAGCAGAACUAGCAGACAUUCCAGAGGGUUAUGUUCCAGAGCACUGGGAAUAUUGCAAGCAUCCGAUCACUCGUUUGACUCCCCUGAAAAAGAAUAUGAAAAAAUGAUGGCGUUGAUCAACAUGGAAGCAGAAAAGGCUG